GAUGAAGAACGUAGCGAAAUGCGAUAAGUAAUGUGAAUUGCAGAAUUCAGUGAAUCAUCGAAUCUUUGAACGCAUCUUGCGCUCCUUGGUAUUCUGAGGUGCAUGCCUGUUUGAGUGUCAUUAAAUUCUCAACUACACUGACUUUGAAUUGGUGUGGCUUGGAUUUGGGGGGAAAAUUGUUGUGGGCUUUUUGUAUAGUCUGCUCCCCUGAAAUUGAUUAGCGGUACCUUUGUGGAACUGUCUACAGGUGUGAUAAUUAUCUACAUCUUAGACAUCUGCUGGAAUGCUGCUUUCUAAACCUUACUUGUAUUGACAAUCUUGACCUCAAAUCAGGUAGGACUACCCGCUGAACUUAAGCAUAUCAAUAAGCGGAGGA
Molecule: unclassified non-coding RNA, 376 nt
Filed under: soil metagenome
Description: partial contains 5.8S ribosomal RNA, internal transcribed spacer 2, and large subunit ribosomal RNA
Rfam family: 5.8S ribosomal RNA (bases 1-120)
Source: RNAcentral